RNAcentral lists this ribosomal RNA (672 nucleotides) under Hepatozoon canis. Its description in RNAcentral is "SSU rRNA". It matches the Rfam family "Eukaryotic small subunit ribosomal RNA", at positions 167 to 827 of the family's 1831-position model. The record is from RNAcentral. Lineage: Eukaryota; Apicomplexa; Hepatozoidae.
AUACAUGAGCCCAAUCUCAACUUUAUUAGAAGAGACGCAUUUAUUAGAUAAAAAGCCAAUGCAUGCUUUUACAGUAUGAAAAUUGGUGAUUUAUAAUAACUUAGCAAAUCGCAAAGUGAAAACAGGCGAUAAAUCAUUCAAGUUUCUGACCUAUCAGCUUUCGACGGUAUGGUAUUGGCUUACCGUGGCAGUGACGGUUAACGGGGGAUUAGGGUUCGAUUCCGGAGAGGGAGCCUGAGAAACGGCUACCACAUCUAAGGAAGGCAGCAGGCGCGCAAAUUACCCAAUUCUAACAGUUUGAGAGAGGUAGUAACAAGAAAUAACAAUACAAGGCAGUUAAAAUGCUUUGUAAUUGGAAUGAUAGAAAUUUAAACCCUUUUUAAAGUAUCAAUUGGAGGGCAAGUCUGGUGCCAGCAGCCGCGGUAAUUCCAGCUCCAAUAGCGUAUAUUAAAAUUGUUGCAGUUAAAAAGCUCGUAGUUGAAGUUCUGCUAAAAGUAACCGGUCUGCUUUGAAUAAAAGUGGUAUCUUGGUAUGUAUUUAGCAAUGAUGUCCUUUGAAGUGUUUUUUACUUUAUUGUAAUAAAGCAUAUUCAGGACUUUUACUUUGAGAAAAUUAGAGUGUUUCUAGCAGGCCAACGCUCUGAAUACUGCAGCAUGGAAUAAUAAGAAGGGC